Molecule: long non-coding RNA, 1786 nt
Organism: Hemicordylus capensis (graceful crag lizard)
Lineage: Eukaryota; Metazoa; Chordata; Lepidosauria; Squamata; Cordylidae
Exons: 3
Source: RefSeq, a predicted model, not a curated record
AUUAGACAUUUGCAGAUUGUGUGUGUAGCAGCAGAUUGGUUGAUGGCUAAACAGACAAGAAAAGAGCCAUCAAAUAACCACUGGGAAAUCACGGUGGUUAAAUGAUGGGGAAGUCUAUAUGGAGGCAACGUCUGUUGGGGAGCAGAUGAGAAAAUGAGAAAAGUGUAUAGUACAGGGAAUGAAUGGCCAUCCUUCUCUGAAGCAUCGGGGAUCGCCACAUCACAAAAUAGGAUGCUGGAUCCGGCUGCAUUGGCUUGAGUACAGGCAUAGGAUGUAAAAUGGUCACAGCUGUCCUUUGUGAUGAAAAGAGCAGCAGUAAGAGACUCAGAGGAUACUACGAGGAUGCUUGCAACUGUGCUCUAAGGGACACUGAGAUUGAUGAUAAGUAGUGAUAAGUUCUUGAUAAGUUCAGACACUGGCGCUCUAUCAUAUACUCUGGGCUGGUGGACAAAAUUAUGGCAUGACAUAGCUCCUAUAGCUCUAGAACAGGGGAAGAAGGAGAGCAUCAGCCAUUAUUUACUAACGUUUCUAUUUUAUUAUAUGCUGAUGGCACGGCGAUUGUAUCUAUCAUGCCGGUAGGAAUGAGACGCGCUUUGAGAACCCUUGCGAAAUUCUGUGAAGAGGAGGUGCUGUCCAUCAAUACCCCAAAAACAAAAAUAAUGGUUUUCAGUAAGCGUAGGAAAUCUUAUAAAUUGUCAAUCAAUGGUAGGAGCCUUCAACAAGUCAAAACAUAAGUAUCUGGGCUUCAUAUUCCAUUCAAGGAAUUCCUGGAGGCCACAUUGUGAGUUUGUGACUGCAAAUGCUCAAAGAUCCAUUGCAGCUAUUAAGAAUUUUUUUACUCUCAAGGCGCUCAGAACAUCCCGGCAACGCUAAGGGUAUAUCAGGCGAAACCUCGAGCUCAGAUGCUAUAUGGUGCCCAGAUUCUUUUAGCUGGGAACUUACAAUCUUUUGAAGUUGUUCCGUCAAAGUUCUUACAGGACAUCUUCCAACUCCCCCAGCUGCGUCCCAAACGCAGCUUUGCAUUUGGAAGCAGGUGUCAUUAGAUUAACUGCUCAGGCACGGCUGCAAGCGGUCUUAUAUUGGCUUAAACAUACUAGCUGUCUCCAAGAGUUAGGCUCACUAACUUUGGUGGAUGAUUUCUGUUCCACUUGGAGGAGGAAUAUACAUGACAUCCUGGGUAAUUGUGGCCUUUUGGAGCAAUAUAUACAAUCGUUAAAUUAUAAGGCAAAAAAAAAAAAUCAUUACACAGAAGGUAAGAGACAUAGAAAAGCAGAGUGACCUUAGCCUGAUUGCUUCCAGAUAUAAUUAUCUCAGCUUUUCAAAUUACCCAAGGCCAGCUGCAUACCUUACACAUUUGCCUACACCCAGGCUAAGAAGGGUCUUCUCUCAGGCCCGUUUUAAUGUCCUCCCUUCAGCUGUGUUGGAGGGCAGAUUUUGAGGGAUCCCCUUGGAGGAACUUAUGUGCCCAUGUGGAGCUGCUGAGGUGGAAACAUUAACACAUACUUUGUUUAACUGCCUUUUCUAUGAUAUUGCCCGUUCCAUUCAGAUCGCCCCCUAUCAAAAGAAACAUUUGGAUUGGUCUGAGGAACAUUUUAUUGUUUAUUUUUUAGGAGACAGGCAUGAAGAAGUUACUCAUAGGAUUGCUUAUCAUAGGCAUGUAAAAUAAGGUGACUGCAAACUGGUUUUUAAAUUUUUACUUAUGUUAUUGUAUUGUACUGUAUUGCUCUUUGCUGUAGUGUUUAUUUGGUCGUUGACAGUAAAUAAAUGAGUUCAGUUCACUAACGUU